GGAACUGGCUUAACAUAUUUUUUUCCAAAAAAAAAACUUCUUUGUUAACAGUAAACCCUGGAAAAUCACAAAAAUUCACCAAAAAGGUCGCACAGGUAUACCAAACCUUAAAUCGAAACGAACCAAAAUCGAGAUAUUGAAACAUGUCUGGCGAGUUGAGCAGUUUGUAGAAGAAACGAAAAGGCUCCUUCUGCGUUGAUGCAGGAUUACAGGAAUAGCYUUGAGAGCCGAUGUGCAUGCUACUUCGAUCCCCUCUGCCGUCUCAAAAUGCUUGACUUUCAUCGGCCUUUUCAGGCAAGAAAAUAAAAAUGAAAU
Long non-coding RNA from Bactrocera latifrons, 315 nucleotides. RefSeq lists it as uncharacterized. The record is from RefSeq and is a predicted model, not a curated record. Lineage: Eukaryota; Metazoa; Arthropoda; Insecta; Diptera; Tephritidae. The transcript is spliced from 3 exons.